GACCCGGAAGCGGAGCCCCGCGAGCGGGAAGCCGGUCCGGCGGGGGCGAAGGAGCAUCGCGCAGGCGCCGGCUCUGCCGCGGCACGCCCCGCCCCCCGCGCUGCCCGCGGCCAAUGGCGAGCGAGGGCGGGGCUGGCCUGGCCGUGAGGGGACGGCAGGAAUGGCGCGGCGGGAAGGGCUGGAAUGACUGCGUGGCAGGGGUUGGGGUACCGGGAGCGGCUCCGAGAGGCCGGGGAAUUUAGAGUCGGCGCGGGUGGGUCCCCUGUCCCCCGCUCCCCCGCGUACAUGACGUCCCGCCUGCUCCGUCCUCUGUCACGGAGGCGCUCUGGCGCAUGAGGCGAUGGCCGCCCUGCCUCGGCCUGCGUGUACAGUCCCACUGUGGAUGGUGAGUUCUGAAGCCAGAAGAGGAGAAGAGUCCCCUCAAGAUCCAAAACAGAGCUCUGAAAGAAAGAAGCACUAAAAUCAAGUUGCCAGGGACACAUGCAUGGAAAGGGAUGAAGUGAGACCUUAUCUCAGCAGAGAAUCAUGGAGAAUGGAAGGAGAAAGGAAGUUUGGAAGUAUGUGAAGCUGCAAAGGUGCUCAGGUUUAUUGUUGUGAAAGAGAAUAAAGGGGAAGAAAGGGAGAAAGGCAGGUGGUAUGGCAGGCUUGUGGGACAUAGGAUGGAGUAGGAAAAGCAGAGAGAUAAUGAGUGAAGCAGUUGCCACAAAUAGGGAAGAAAAUGUGGAAGAGCUAGAACAGUCAUUUGAAAAGCUGGAGACUUAUGGAUGAUUUUCAGGAGCACGGAGAUAUGGGGAAUGCUGAAAGCAUGAGCAGCUGCAGAUUAGCAGGAUCAGGGUUCCUGUGAGCCAGGAAAUCAGAGGUCCCAACAGGUGUUUAGUGCUUUGCCCUUUGUUUACAUAGCAGUGUGGGUGGGAGGGGAGGCAGUGCCCACUGCUUGGGAUAGGAGAGCAGUUUUCCUGGCAGCCUGGAACUGCUCUGUCCAGCAGCUCAGCCACAGAACAGUCACUGUGUAGAUAAAGCAGGUUCUUCCCAAAAGGCCCAGGAAGGUGUGAAAAUCUACAGCCCCCAUAAAAAUUAAAAUUGAUAGGUGGAGGUGAGUAGUUGGAAGGAGGGCAAGGUAAUUCUAGCAGAGAAGCUUGAAAAUAGUGAUCAUAUUUGCAGACAGAUGACCAAGCAUGCAUAGUCCUUAUUUAAUUGUUGUAUUUCAAGCAAUAGAGCCAGCAAUGAAAAACAAACUGUUAUGAUGUUUGGUUGAGUCACGUAAUUGCCUGUGACCUCAGAGCUAAGACUAACCUGAACUGUGGGGAUGAUUCUAAUGACAACCUUACUAUUAGAUAUGCAAUUACCAAUCUAUAAUUACAAGCUAAAUUGUAGAACACUGGCUGUUCCUCUGUUUACAGUGAAACCUGACUCUUCUAUAUAAGAACAUUACUAAAUGUGACAAAAUUAAAAAUAAAUUCAUUAUUCAGUGAACAAAAUAUAUAUUUAAAUACUUUCUUUGAAAAAGUAAGUAAAACACCCAGUCAUGUUUCAUGAAAAGUAAUGAUUAUUGUUAAAUACUAAUUACCCUUACUGUGAAAAACUACAAAUAGCAGCAGAAGGUUAACCAUGGUGGCAUCUCUGUCAUAACUUGACAAUAUUAAAGACAGGAAUGCAAAAAGGAAACUUUUUACUAAUAAUCCUGGAUUAAAGAUAUUCUGUCAGCCUUAUGCAUGAGAUGUAUCCUUUCUAGCAGAACAUUUCAUAGAUAAGGGGGCCAUCCUAAAGGCUUGUGAGGCUUUGGAUGCAGCAGCUGCCCAUUCCUUAUGGUGCUCACGUGAAGCAGUUUGACAUGCUGGACCUCCUGCUGCUGUACAGAGGCAUGUCCAGUGAGGUCAGACUUCCUGAGAGGCAGGAUCCCAGCCUCUGCAAGAGGUUCAGGGCCUCUGACAGAGAGCAUCACGUGGCUUGGCUGUGUGCUUGCAUGAUUGCCAAAUGUGGUGUAAGACAGGCAACAGGAGACUAGGGGAGAUGAGGAGCAGGCUUCUCUUUUCAGUCACAGCUUGCUCUUCGAAGUGUCACAGUGACAUGAAACUGCACCAUGAGUGAGGAGCUCCUGAGCACUGCUUGUGGCCUCCAUAUCUACUCCAGUAAUUCUGCCAGCAGCUGAAUUAACUGCUCAGGGUUGGUAUCUGUCAGGUACAAAGAGUGGUAGCUAGGUGCUUGAGAGCACUGCAAGGUUCAAUUAAUAAUGUUUGCUAACUAUUAAUUAAGUGUUUUAAGUUCUAAAGUGUUGAUGAGAAAUGCCUGAACGUUGAAUCAUCGUGUUCUAGUUGUCCCAAAGGUUCAUUCAGCUGAUAAACAACAGGGCCAGAGGUUUAUUUAUCCAAAAAUCAAGACAGCACAGCAUGUGGCCCCAGUGUCUUACGGAAACCUGUUAUCAUGAUGCAAUUAUUUAUUUUUGAGGAGAGAAUCUUUGAUUUGUUUUGCCAGAGCUGUUUUGCCUCCUGCAGAUACAAUCUGUCAUGAUUCAGUUUUGCAUCUAUAAUAUAAAUAUAUUUGCCAUGUCAAGGAGCAACAUCUGACUGAAUGUGGCUUUAUUUCUACUUCUGUAUUAGUUUUUCUCAGUUGUAAAAGAGAAAUGUCACAGGGCUUGCAUUUGGUAUUCAAGACCUGUGCAGUAAUUGCCUUGAAAGCAGGGAGAAUCCAUAGCUUCAGACAAGGAACUGACUAUUAACAGCCGAGAUUAAAGGCUGCAGUCCAGCAAUGGUGGGAGAUCUGGGUAGCUCUUUAACACUCAUGUGACAAUAAUCUGCCACAGUAUUAGGCUGAGGCAUGAAAAAAGUUUGAGGAGACUCAGGCCUUAAACAUACGCAGCGUGGAUUGAGGGGCCAGAAAGGUGAUGUUUUAAAAGGCAAGCAUAUCCAUGUGAGAUAAACUAAUAGACAAUACCUGCCCCUGCAAAUUUACUGGAAUAAGAAGCAUCCCUGUGAUUCAGCAUGGCUCAGAUAUAUCUUGGCUGAAAAACUGUAUUUCAGCUCAGGCUUCUGUGCCAGAUACAUCCGCCUUCUUCACUAAGUACUCUGUCUCAGUAAGGAGUUCAGCUGGUCCACUGUGGAGGAGUGAAAAUCACCUUUCAAACGUGGACAUUUCUGCUGUUUCCUUCUUCAUGUAUUAUCAAUGUGUAUUGUAAAGGAUACCAUAAAAGGAUGUAAUUUGUCCAAGACCAAGUAUCAAAGAUGCUAUCACAUCUUCUGGUUAUAUAUUUUAUAUUUUUAUUUUAUAAAAAAUUUAUAUUUAAAAUAUAAUAUUUUAAUUUUUAAAAAUGUUUUAUGGAUGAAAUUUUGUGGAAUGAUUGAGGACUAAAUGCAUAUUAUCAUUAAAAACAAGUCCAAAAAUACAUGGGCAAAUCCAGAAAAAAAUCCCAAAAAACAGAAAGUAAAGUUUCAUAGAAUAAAAUGUUUUAUUCCUGAGAGAUUUGCCCAUGGCUUGAUUUGUGUGUAUUUUAAAAGAUUUACCUUAUUGGAGUCCAUCAAUUUUCCAGUAUUGCAAUAUCUAUGCAGCCUGUGACGAUCUAUGUGUACCUUUGCUAGUUGUUACCUUACAUUUCUAGCACUUCUCUCACUAAUCCAGCACUUUUGCAUGUAUGGAGCCCUUUGCCCUGAGCUAAUGACACAAAAUGUUUCAGUAUAUGUCUGAUAAUGUGGCACAAAAGAAAUCUCAUUAUUUUCAGUGGGGCUUUUGUAAGGCUAACUGGUGAUCAUUGCCUGGGCCGUUGCUGUUCUACUGAUGUGUGCAGACUCCUCCAAAGUGGAGUAAUACACACAGAGUCUGUGUUUAGUCUUACUUCCAUAGUGCUGUUACUACCCUGGUCAGGCUUCAUCCGUUUCACGGGCUGUACAACUUCAUUUGUUUUGCCAAAGAUUCAGCACUAGUUUUCCUACCUUCUGGGAAUUUUGUUCCAGGUAAUAAACAUGAUUUU
Long non-coding RNA from Passer montanus (Eurasian tree sparrow), 3961 nucleotides. RefSeq lists it as uncharacterized. The record is from RefSeq and is a predicted model, not a curated record. The transcript has 3 exons. Lineage: Eukaryota; Metazoa; Chordata; Aves; Passeriformes; Passeridae.